Molecule: ribosomal RNA, 433 nt
Filed under: uncultured bacterium
Lineage: Bacteria
Description: partial 16S ribosomal RNA
Rfam family: Bacterial small subunit ribosomal RNA
Source: RNAcentral
AGCGAACGCUGGCGGCAGGCCUAACACAUGCAAGUCGAACGAACUCUUCGGAGUUAGUGGCGGACGGGUGAGUAACCCGUGGGAACGUGCCUUUAGGUUCGGAAUAACUCAGGGAAACUUGAGCUAAUACCGGAUGUGCCCUUCGGGGGAAAGAUUUAUCGCCUUUAGAGCGGCCCGCGUCUGAUUAGCUAGUUGGUGAGGUAAAGGCUCACCAAGGCGACGAUCAGUAGCUGGUCUGAGAGGAUGAUCAGCCACAUUGGGACUGAGACACGGCCCAAACUCCUACGGGAGGCAGCAGUGGGGAAUCUUGCGCAAUGGGCGAAAGCCUGACGCAGCCAUGCCGCGUGAAUGAUGAAGGUCUUAGGAUUGUAAAAUUCUUUCACCGGGGACGAUAAUGACGGUACCCGGAGAAGAAGCCCCGGCUAACUUCGUG